RNAcentral lists this ribosomal RNA (380 nucleotides) under uncultured eukaryote. Its description in RNAcentral is "partial 18S ribosomal RNA". It matches the Rfam family "Eukaryotic small subunit ribosomal RNA", at positions 592 to 976 of the family's 1831-position model. The record is from RNAcentral.
CAAUAGCGUAUAUUAAAGUUGUUGCGGUUAAAAAGCUCGUAGUUGGAUUUCUGCUGAGGACGACCGGUCCGCCCUCUGGGUGAGUAUCUGGCUCGGCCUUGGCAUCUUCUUGGAGAACGUUGCUGCACUUGACUGUGUGGCGCGGUAUCCAGGACAUUUACUUUGAGGAAAUUAGAGUGUUUCAAGCAGGCAUACGCCUUGAAUACAUUAGCAUGGAAUAAUAAGAUAGGACCUCGGUUCUAUUUUGUUGGUUUCUAGAGCUGAGGUAAUGAUUAAUAGGGAUAGUUGGGGGCAUUCGUAUUUAACUGUCAGAGGUGAAAUUCUUGGAUUUGUAAAAGACGGACUACUGCGAAAGCAUUUGCCAAGGAUGUUUNCAUUGA